UGGGGAAUAUUGGGCAAUGGGCGCAAGCCUGACCCAGCCAUGCCGCGUGAGUGAUGAAGGCCUUCGGGUCGUAAAGCUCUGUGGGGAGGGACGAAACAGGACAUGGCUAACAUCCAUGGCCCUUGACGGUACCUCCUUAGCAAGCACCGGCUAACUCCGUGCCAGCAGCCGCGGUAAUACGGAGGGUGCAAACGUUGCUCGGAAUCAUUGGGCGUAAAGCGCACGUAGGUGGCCUGUUAAGUCGGGUGUGAAAGCCCUCGGCUCAACCGAGGAAGUGCAUUCGAAACUGGCAGGCUUGAGUAUGGAAGAGGGUCGUGGAAUUCCCGGUGUAGAGGUGAAAUUCGUAGAUAUCGGGAGGAACACCAGUGGCGAAGGCGGCGACCUGGGCCAAUACUGACACUGAGGUGCGAAAGCGUGGGGAGCAAACAGGAUUAGAUACCCCCGUAGUCC
Molecule: ribosomal RNA, 450 nt
Filed under: uncultured bacterium
Lineage: Bacteria
Description: bacterial SSU rRNA
Rfam family: Bacterial small subunit ribosomal RNA
Source: RNAcentral